Molecule: ribosomal RNA, 500 nt
Filed under: uncultured bacterium
Lineage: Bacteria
Description: bacterial SSU rRNA
Rfam family: Bacterial small subunit ribosomal RNA
Source: RNAcentral
GAUGAACGCUAGCGGCAGGCUUAACACAUGCAAGUCGAGGGGUAUUGGUUUUCGGACCAAGAGACCGGCGCACGGGUGCGUAACGCGUAUGCAAUCUACCUUUUGCAGAGGGAUAGCCCCAGAGAAAUUUGGAUUAAUACCUCAUAGUAUUUUUGAAUCGCAUGAUUUGAUUAUUAAAGUUCCAACGGUAAAAGAUGAGUAUGCGUCCCAUUAGCUAGAUGGUAAGGUAACGGCUUACCAUGGCUACGAUGGGUAGGGGUCCUGAGAGGGAGAUCCCCCCACACUGGUACUGAGACACGGACCAGACUCCUACGGGAGGCAGCAGUGAGGAAUAUUGGUCAAUGGACGCAAGUCUGAACCAGCCAUGCCGCGUGCAGGAUGACGGUCCUAUGGAUUGUAAACUGCUUUUAUACAGGAAGAAACCCUCCCACGUGUGGGAGCUUGACGGUACUGUAGGAAUAAGGAUCGGCUAACUCCGUGCCAGCAGCCGCGGUAAAGUG